UACGAACACUUCAAUAGAGAAGGUAGCUGUUAACAGCCUGAAUAUGUCACCAUAACUCUCGGUUUUAUUCACUGGGAGCUGAAGAAUUGAACAGGUAGGUGGAGGACUAGGUAGACUGGUGUCGCGAGUAUAAUAGAUGCUGAAGUUCUUGCAUCCUUUAUAGUUAAAUUCAAGAUGCUGAGGAAAAUUGACACUGGGGUCAGUACAUUUGAAUAAAGUUAUGUUGGAGAUUGUUUUAUAAGACCAGCUGUAUGGGACACUGGCUGGAAGACUCAAAUUGUUGAAGGAAUCGCAUGAAUUGGAAUUCAAAUGCCUCCGUAAAUCUUUAUCAGUGAUUGAAAUGGUAUUAGCCUGAGAGAUGUUGUGAAGUUCAAACCAUUUUCCUCUCCUUUCUAGUUGGAUACUUUGAGAAUCUUCGUCACAGCCAUCCACCACACAGGGACCGCAUAUCUCAGGACUUGUGUUGUUGGUGAAUGGGAACUUGAUUUCUCCGAGCUUUCCACAAUUGAAAGUCGGACACUUGUUGUUGAAGUCCCAGUCAUCUUCUUUGGAAGCGCAAAUAAGCAAAGGGUGAAAGAGGGCAAAGAAAACUAGCAAAGGGACGGGAGCCAUCCCCGAGCUCCCAAUUUUAAGAAACAAAAUGGAGACACCAACAGGAUCAACUUCUCUUACUAGAACUAUGUCUUGGUGUCUCUUCAAAGUACAUAUAAUUCUUUAUCUGGCAACACACGUUAGUUGACAUGGAAACUUGAGUAGGAAGACUUGUAAUUAAGAUGACAGCAGGUGGGGUAGCCCUGCGAAAUUUACAUGUUAGAAAUCGUCUGUUUGGUCGGUGAUUGCACCAGCCCAGUAAGUUGACCUAUUGACUUUUCAAAGUCUUCUUCCCAAAUACCACGCAAUAUUAACAUAGACUUCUUUGCAGCUUGUUAUAAACGCCUGAACGUGCUAUAACAAAAAAGCGAAGUAUAGGGUUUCGCUAAAUUAGAUAAGAACCAUGUGGUAACAAUGCAAUAAGGCAUCUUUCUCAAAGAAUGGACUCCAUUACACGGUCCCUGAGCUUACUAGAUGCCAAGGAUGGAGUUCUAGGGAAGAUCAGAAAUUGGUGAGAGAAAAAUGACAGAUUAAGCGUCCAAGGAAAGUUCAGACGUGGAGGAGGGAUCAUAGAGGCAGAGGUUAAUUCAUGGGUCAAUAGUCAUCGCUAAAGUUUAUAUAUAUAUAUAUAUAUUAGUGGCCAUGAGUCCAAAGGUGAUAUCUCAAUUACUUCCAUUCCAUGGGCAAUCUCUGUGGAGGGACCCAAAGAAAAACCUUUCUACAAGGGAAUCAAUUUGUUGCAUAGUAAUAACUAGAUAGGGGUAGCGCUAUACCGUGGUCUCACCCAAUUUCUUUUAACGUGAAAAAAGUGCCAAGGCAACGCAAAUGUUUCUAAAAAGCAAAAAAAGCCUUAAGAGUCGCUUUAUUGACGUGUUUGAAUUUAAUAAAUUUAAAUAAUAUAAAUAAAAAAAUACAACAAUAAUAAAUACAUUGACAAAAAAAAUUGGCAACCUAAAAAAUUUAUAAAACUUGGAAAGCAAACUAAUAAAACUAUAAAUCUCAAUUAUUAAAUAACUCAAUGCUGAAGAGUGAAAAAUAAAUAAAUUAACUUGGGUUAACUCUUUAACCUUGCAAUCCUGAGCACAUGAUUGAGAUAACCCUAUAAAAAUAAAAGUUAGAAAAAAAAUAACAAGGACCAAUUCCUAAUGAAUCAAAUGUUCGAGGAAUAAAUUGAAAAAAAAAAAAAAGGACUUAAUAAAAAAAACCAAAGUCCACACAUAUUAAUCUUUGAAACUCCUGAUCCUUGUCAUGAGUUUGACACCAAGCAAAUAGAAGGUAAAAUCUAAAAAAUAACAUGGAAAAAUUAUAAAUCAACAAAAUAUUACAAUAUGAGAUUGAAAAUAAAAUUCAAUUAGGAAUAGAAAAAUAAAUAAAUGAUGAGAACCAAAUUUGAUACUGAAAUUAAAUAAAAUCAAAUAAUGAAAGAUGAAAUUGAAGAAAAAACAUCAAUCAAAACAAGAUAAAAAAAAAAAUAGUAAUUAAAAAAAUGAAAAUUGAAAUGGAUACCAAAAAAAUAAAAAAACACCUUUAUAAUUUAGCGAGAAGAACAGAGACAAAAAAAAAAAACAGAAAAAUAUAUAUUCAAGUCAAAUCAUUGUUUUAUUGUGUAUAUUCGCAACACCAAUAGAAAGAUCAUGGAGAUACACUUUCAUCAUCUCUUUAAAAAGUAGUGUUUGGACAUGGAAUAACAUUGCAUGCAUCUACUCGUUGGCACACCACCAAUCUUUUUUUUUCAAUAAUAUUUAUGUUUGUAUCAAGAUCAAAUAGCUUCCUAAUUAAUUUUUUAAUAGCUAAAACAUAGUUUGAAAUUAUAAAAAAGCUCAUGGAUCCUCAAUCGAUUUGACCAAUGACUUAUAUGUAAAAGAUUAUAUUGCCCAAAUAGCAAGUGCAUUGUGUAUUUUUUAUUAUUAUUGAAGAGCAAAAUAAUAAUUAUACUAUUAUAUUAUAAUGAAUCUAUGUUACUCCAUAAUAUUAAGCACUCCUUCACGCUCGGCUCUUGAUGCGAAGAAGCGAAGGGUGAAAGAGGGCAAAGAAAACCAGCAAAGGGACGGGAGCCAUCCCCGAGCUCCCAAUUUCAAGAAACAAAAAUAGGAAUGGAAACACCGACAAGAGGAUCAAGUUCUCUGACUGAAAUAAGGUCUCAAAGUCUCUUAAUUAUUGUGAUCUGCAAUAUAUCUUGUUGUGUGCUUACUAAGCACGUCAAUUUACUUGGAAAUUUGAUAUGGAAGACUUGUGAAAUGGAUUGAAAGAAGUGAGAGGAAGUUCAUGUGAGAUUUCCAGCUGCCCUGCCUGUUCUAUUGAUCAUCACUUAGAAACAAUCGACUCCUUAAUUCUUUAAAAACAAAAAAGUACAAGAGAUAAAAUGAAAGUUAGAUCAAUCAGGCCCGUGUAUGCAGACCUAUUGGGUGCCCAACCCGGCUUUCUUCUUCUUUCAAUAUUUAUGAUUUUUUGAAUCUCGAUUUUUUUCAAGUAAUUAUUUUUUUUCACAUCCAGUCUAAGCAUUUUUUGUUGUUGUUCAUUCUUGCCUUCUUCCAAUUACUGUUUCUCUUAAUUAUAUUUUAUAAGUGAUAUGCAUGAUUGGUUGCAUGUUUGCUCUUUUCAUUCAUCAAAAUAAAAAAAUAUUUAUAAUAUGUAUUUAAUUUUUUUAAAACAUGAUAUCAAAUACUUCAAAAUAAAUAUUCAAUUAAAAAACUUCCACAAUUUUUUGCCUAGUGAUAACUAGACUGGGGUUGCGCUAUACCACCGAAUAGCUCAAUUGUUUUUUAAUGUUAAAAAAAUGUUAAGAUAAUGUAAGUGUUUUUUAAAAAAUAUAAAAUUAUUUACACUAGAGUAAUUGACUCGUUUGGAAAAGAUUGAUAUAAAUACUAUAAUCCUACUUAAAAUAAAAAAAAUUAAGUUUAUAAUCCAUUAAAUAAAAUAUCCAAUAAUAAUUAAAUUAAGUCUAAUUAAUGAAGUUCAACUAAAAAUUAAAAUAAAUUAAAUCAAAACAUAAGCUAAAACUUAAUUUUUUAAUAGUUUAGGCUACUUUUCGUCUAUGAUCAUACAAAUAUAUAAAUAAUAUCUCAGGUUUGAUGUUCCUACUAUUUUCUUGUUUUGUUUCAUGAAAAAAAAAACACCAUUUUGAUAUCUAAAAUUAUUUAUCGGUUUACAAUUUAAGAAAACAAAAGAUUUAUCAUUGAAUAUUAUAAUAGUAGGCAUCAAUCAUUCAGUACCAUGAGUUUGUAUUAAGUUUCAAAAUAUCACAAUCCCUCCAUGACCGGUUAACAAAAAAAACUAGAUCUUCUAGUGAAGUUAUUAUAUGUAUCUAGACAUAGAUUGUUAAUCAUUGAAACACUAUAAUGAUGUAUUUGCCUUUACACUAUAAAAACUUUAAACUAGUAAUCGGGGGAGAUUUCAGAAUUAAUUUCUCAUUAUCAAAUUAAUGAGGAAUAGAUCUGUCUUUUAUAUUUUUUUUAAAAGUUCGAAAGACUAAAAAGCCAAUAAAAAUGAAAAAUAUUAAAUUAUCUUUCAGGGGUUUAUUUAUAUUUUUAUUUUUUAAGCGCAAUAAAAUAACUGAUAUACCUUUCUGUAUAUAUAUAUAAAACAUUAACUAACACCUAGUUGUUUUUUUGUAUUUUCAUUGUUGUAACCCAUUUUUGGGUCCCUUUGAAAAAUAAAAUAAAUAGCCAAAAGAGGUUAGAAAAAUAACCGGAGGCAGAAGCGCCCGGAAAACAGUAAGAAAAUUGGUCAAGGAAUUUAAAAAUACAAGGAUUGAAUUUUUGACAGUAUAUUCUUGAAGGAUGAAAGCCCGCUAUUGAGAAGAAAAAAUUGAAUUUUAGGGAGAAAAGCCCAAAUUUGGAUUUUUAUGGGCUUAAUUGGAUUUUUAUGGGCUUAAUUGGAUUUUUAUGGACUUAAUUGGAUUUUUAUUUGAAUUUAUAGAAGAUUUGAUUCCAAGAAAAUUGAUUUUUAAGUCAAUUUGGGCUUUAAUUUGGAGAAAUUUAAGUUCUGGGGCCAAAAUAUAUUUUUUAGGAAUUUAUUGGGUCAAAUCAGGGGCUCAAUUGCAUAAAAUUGAAGUUUAAGGGCCAAUUAAGGACUUAAUUGAGAAAAUCCGAAACCAGGGACCAAAUUGGAAGAGGCGCGUAAAUGGAGGGGCUGCUAAUUUUUCGGUUCAGGGGCCUAAUUGAAGAAAUUGAAAGUUUAUUAAUCAAUUGAGGGCUAAAUUGCAUAAAUCAGAUGCCAAGGACCAAAAUGAAAAAGGCGGCCAACAAGAAGGGCGGGGACCGAAUUUGGAGGACUGAUUUGAAGUUUGGCCAUUAAAUGAAACGGCGCGUUUUAUUCAAAACGACGCCGUUUCAUAUACAAAAAAAAAAAAAAAAAAAAAAAAGGAAAGCAGAACGGUGUCGUUUUGAACGACACUGUUCAUCAUCUCCUUCCCCCCCCGUUUGUAGCAGAACAGAAGGUAAAAAAUUUUGAAAAAAAUCUCCCGCGUCUCUCUCUCUCCUCGCCCCCACCACCACCACCGAAAGAACCGACCAGCCAUGCGUGAUUGAAGGCGCACUAACCACGGUCCCCUACCCGUGCUCCCCUAUAAAUAAAGAAGAAAAACCGAAAGGAGAAGAGGAAAAACCGAAAGACCCGAAGAGAGAAAGAGAGAGAGAGUGACCCGAAGAGAGAGAGAAGAACAGAACCAAACCAAGAAGAAGGAAACCGAAACAAAACCAAAACCGAACCGAGAAUAGGCAGCCACUGAGAACGAAAAAAAAAACGAAGGAGAAGGGAGGAAGAAGAAUUUUUCGCCACUGAAACAGCAGCAACGCCGCCCGAAACCGCCAUCCACGAGCCGCGCCACCGUAGCCCCGCCAGCCAACCACCGUCUCCAGCCUCGCCAGGUAUUCCCUCCCCUGCAUUUUUUUUUUCUCUCGUCUUCUGCUAAUUCUCAUCUCCUGCAUGCAGAUUUGUGCUGCAUGCAGGAGACGGGGGAAAAUUAAUUCCCCCCGUUAUAUUUUAUAUAUGGGCCAGAAGGGUUCUGGCCCAACCCAGCGGUCUGGGCCGGGUCCGGCCCAGACCAAGUUGUGUUUUUGGGCCGACUUCGGCCCAGUACCUUUCCUGGGCCGAGGUCGGCCCAGUUACCUUUCCUGGGCCGAGGUCGGCCCAGUCACUGUGGGGCUGAGCCCGGCCCAAUCAGUUGGGCCGGCCCAGCCCCUUAAUAAAUAUAUAAUUAUAUUAUAUAUAUUAUAUUAUAUAUAUAUGUUAUAUAUAUAUAAAAUAUUUGUAAAAAAUCUAAAAAAUCUAAAAAAAAUAUUGUUAUUUUCUUUCAUGUAUAUAUAUUUUUAAGGGGGUUUGUUUUUUUUUAUAUACUGUGAGGUAUAAAUUCAGUAUUUAAAAUAUCUGAUUUUCGUCGUAGCACCCGAAAUUUUCCAAAGAUAAUUUUUUUUUUUGCUUUCAAAAAUUUCUAAAAUUCCUAAAAAAUAUUGUGGAUUUUUCCGCAUAUUUUUUUUUUAUGACUUAAUAUUAGUUUGUAUUUUUUUUUGUGGAGAUACAAAUUCAGUAUUAAAAAUACCUGAUUUCGUCAAAAAAAAAUAUUGUUUAAAAAAAAAAUAUUUUUCUUGCGUGUUGCAUACGGCCAAUACUCUAACAUGUUUUGAAUAUUCUUUUUAUAAAACAAAUAUAUUGGAAGCUUCGAAAGUGUGUUUUCGCAUAGAUUUCUUAAACACAAAUUAUUUUCUUGCAUUUUGGAUUUUACAACGUGUUUGUAAAAUUCCAAAGGGUAUUGGCCAAUAUUCAAAAAACUAUAAAAAUCUUAUUUUGGGAAAAGGAAUUUAUUUAUUAUUUACCGCUAAUGUUUGGAUAAAGAAAUCCUUAAAAGGAUGAAUAUCCAAAAUAUUAUCGGGAAUAAUAAAUCCGCACACAAUUCUUGAAAGAAGCCUUGAUUAUAAUCGAGGACAUUUCAAAAUUAAUUUAAUUUUUUUUCUCCACGAUUUAUGAGUCACAAACUUUUGAAAUACUAAGGGAAAAAUGAGCUUUCAAAGCACAUGGAAUCUCCUUAGAUUUCUAUCCAAAAUCAAUUGACGAGCCUAGAAAAUACCUACACCAUAGCAGUUAUAGAGCAAACCAAACACCAAGCAGCUUACCUUAGGUAGGGCGUACUAGGGGUGCUAAUACCUUCCCUUUACGCAACCAGUCCCUUGCCUUAGAAUCUCUGAAAGACCAGUUAGGGUUCCUAGUGACCAAAAUACUAGGUGGCGACUCCCAAAGAACCAAAUCAACAAAACAGAACAAAACGAAAGUUGCCAGUCGAAUGUCGCAAAACAAAUUUUAAAAUAAACAAAACUUUUUUUUUUAUAUAUUUUUUUUUUUUUGGGGGUGCGACAUUCAUCAUGAUUUUUUUUGUUAUAAUCAUGUUGGCUUAGGGAUAAUUUAGUCAUUUAAACUAUAUAAGUAUUAAUUAAAAAAAAAUGGUUAAGAUGGCAUUCCACGCGUCAGUGUGUGGGUUAUUUUCGUGUUAUUUGGGUAGUGCGUGCAAUGGUGUUUGGUUGCAAAACAAUUGCUUUUGGGUGGUUUUCGAAAUGUCCUGGUGCCCCCUCCAUUCUUGGUCGCCUUGUGUAGCCAACGAGUUUCUAGUUUGGCACCAAUAACCUUUUUUUUUCUUCUUUUUUCUUUCCCACUUAAUUUUCAUUCCUAACCCUUUAAAGUUCCAAAACAGUCUUCAAAUUGUUUUUCAUUUAGAUUUGGUUUAUUUUUUAUCCCUAUUGAUUUAAUUUGAAAUAAUAUAUAGAAUUGCAAUUUUUUUUCUAUUGCAUCCUCCUCUAAGUUUUUAUGAAUUCAGCCUGCAAUUGUUUCCUAUAAGAUAAAAUCCCUUAUUUUGUUUAUUGAUUUUUUUACUGAUAUUUUUUUUAUUUUAUUCUUCAAUAUUAAAUUUGUUAAAAAUUGAUCUUCUUGAUCGAGCCAAGGUCUAAGAUUUUAUAGGUUACAAGUUUAGAAAAUUAGCCAAGGUAUAAGAGAUUCACCCGAGUUUGCUUCUUUUUUUUUUUUUGACCUUUUUUUAAGCUUAUGCUUUUUUAGUUUAUCAUUUGAUAUUUAUUUAAUUGGAGAUUGGGCUCCAUUUAUUUUUUAUUUGCUUUCUAUAUGAAUUUUUACUUGUUUUGAAAAUGACUCGGGUUAUCUCGAGUCUUUUUAUUUGUUGUUUUUUUUUGGUUAAAUUUAGCUUUUUUUAUAGAAAAACAUUUUUAUUAAAUUAAAUUAAUUGAUUAGAUAUAAUUAAGCAUGAUAUGAUCACUUUAUAAUAUUUUAUUUGGUUUGUCCAGGUCGUUGCUUUUACAGCGCGUGCAACUUCUUUUGAUGUCGUCAUCUAGCCUUCUAUAGCGACAUUAGAAUCGUCUUGGUGAACUCUUUUUGAUGGUAAAAUGAUGACCACGAGAGAGAGAGACAAUGAGUCUCUAAUAAUAGGCUUUUCUUUCGUAUACUCAUGAGUAUUAUAUUGGUAGCUCAUUUUUAUACCUAAUUAUUGCCAAAUUUUUUUGCUUUAUUUAUUGUUGAUUUUUUUUAAAUCAUAUUAUUAAAUUAACCGAACUCGGUGAACCUAGUCAGAUCAAUGAUAAUAGUCUCAAAUGUUUCUGAAUAUCUUUUUUUUUGUUAAUUUUUAUUUUAUUUUAUAUAUUGUUGUUGCAUUUAGAUAAUACACGAGAAUUGUAUAUCUUUUAGAAACCCUUAUAUUGUCUUAAUAUAUGUAUUUAUAUUGAAAAAAAAUUAGGUUGACCCGUUAGCAUAGUGUGAGUCAUCUAUCCAGUACAUAAUACAUGGAAUUUCUUAAUUUUGUCCUUGAUUGAAGCAGCAAGCUGCAGGAUUGUUCGUAUCUCAAAAUUCCCAAUAAAAGAAGGGCGACACAGCAAUUCGCAGUUCUAGUUUUAGGAGAAUGAUGGAAAAGAAACAGAGCAUAAAUAGUUCAAAGCAUUUGGAGUUCUGGAGGAGCCAUGGGAUGCACAAAUUGUAUUGAGGAUAUUUUCGAGGUGUAAAUUAAAGAAAAGGUAUGCAGUUUUCUGGUCAUCAAUCUCUCUAUUGCAGUUUGGACAAGGAUUAGAUGUUACAUGUUGAAGCCCGUAUAUACUAAUAAAUGAACACAGUUGAAAUAUUAAUUACUGACAUUAGGUGUAGUAGAACCGCUAAACCACUGAUCAGUUGUGGAAUUCGAUGACAGCGGUGACCGGAUAUUCUUUAGCAAUGCAACCACAUCACAAUCCGGAUAUUUGUUGUCAAGAAGGAUAUUGUUCGUUUUUACAUCCCGGUGAAAGAUAUCAGUAGCAUGCAGAUAAGCCAAUGCGGUAGCCGUUUCUAUGGCAAUCCUCAUUCGAAUAGUCCAAGUUAGUGAACCAGAUUUGGCUCGAUCAUGAUGGAGAUGAUCUGCAACUGUGCCAUUGGGAAUGUAUUCAUAGACAAGGAGGAGCUCGCGGCUGUAGCAAGAAGUACACCCAUAAAGAGUCACAAGAUUUUUGUGGCGCAGGCGAGUAAGGAUUUGAAUUUCAUUCAUGAACUGCUUUAUCCUCUUACGAUUGUGUUCAUAUAGGCGCUUGACUGCAACUUCUCGCCCAUCUCGGAGUUUGCCUGUCGAGAUUGAUAAAUAAAAAUAGAAAAGCCCAUAAAUAAAGUCGCUAGCUUUCUUUCUUCCUUCCUUUGUUUUUCAGUUAAGAAAACCUACCGUAAAUUGUUUUUCAGUUAAGAAAACCUACCGUAAUAUACAGUUCCAAAACCUCCGUCACCAAGUUCGUGUUUGGAAUCGAAGUUGUUUGUGGCUUCUUCAAGAUCAGAAUAGGAGAAGAUGGGGACCCCAAAGUAGUUAGUGUCCCCUUCCGGGUCUGAUUUUGAUGAGGGAUCUGAAGAAGCAUUUGCUGAAUUGACGUUAGAGGAAAUGUGUGUUCUCUUGUGUCGAUGCCACCGGAUGAAAAAUAUGGACACCAAAAUUAAUUAUACCAUGAAAGGGACUCCGAGACCUGCAGUUGAAAAGAAGAGUACUGUACUUUUAACUUGAAUAUAUCCUUUGAGGAAAUUAUUUUACUGGCAGGAGGUUUUCCAUUGAACGUUGUUGCCGAAACAUAUGCAGAAGAGAAAUUGAAAUGUUGAGGAGGUAAAUUACCUAGUCCGAGCUUCAAUCUCAAUUUUUUUCUCUCUGCAACACAAAUAAAAAAGGAAAUAUGGCAUUAGUGCAAAACUUAAAAGUUAAAACAACGAAUUUAUGCAUGCUUUGCCAAAUCGAAUUCUCCAAUAUUUAACAUGCACAAAAAUCAGCGAAAUAAAAAUAAAAAAUCAGAGCAAGGAGGACCUGCUUAUGAGUAAUAGAUGGGAUUUUGUGCCAAGCUAAAUUCUAUUCUCACGACCCAUAAUUGUAAACCAUACCCAGUAAGCUAAAAUCAAUUGCAUAGAAGACAGGAAUUGAGUGGAAUACCAGAUAUAAAGAAUAGUAGGUCUAGUAAAAUGUCCUAAGGUCCUCAGGACUAUACUGGGUCGUAGUAUACAAAUACAAAUAAACUUACAUGUAUUUAUCUCUCCCUAUUUUUGCUGUGUCCAUGCAUAUCAUACCUUCACUUGAAUGGAUGCAUUUGAAGUUUCCUUUGUUGCGUUUACAUUCCCCUCUUUGCAAAUAACAUUGAUAACAGUGACGCGAUACGAACAAUUCAAUUGAGAAGGUAGCUGUUAACAGCCUGAAUAUGUCACCAUGACUCUCGGUAUUUUUCACUGGGAGCUGAAGAAUUGAACAGGUAGGUGGGGGACGAGGUAGACUGGUGUUGCGAGUAUAAUAGAUGCUGAAGUUCUUGCAUCUUGUAAAGUUAAAUUCAAGAUGCUGAGGAAAAUUGACACUGGGGUCAGUACAUUUGAAUAAAGUUAGGUUGGAGAAUUCUAUAAUAGACAAGUAUGGGACACUGGCUGGAAGACUCAAAUUGUUGAAGGAAUCGCAUGAAUUGGAA
This 10526-nucleotide long non-coding RNA is filed under the name Populus tremula. Its description in RNAcentral is "long non-coding RNA (PTRE_LNC000463)". The record is from RNAcentral. Lineage: Eukaryota; Viridiplantae; Streptophyta; Magnoliopsida; Malpighiales; Salicaceae.